RNAcentral lists this transfer RNA (66 nucleotides) under Aleyrodidae sp. JXCHN01. Its description in RNAcentral is "tRNA-Thr". The record is from RNAcentral. Lineage: Eukaryota; Metazoa; Arthropoda; Insecta; Hemiptera; Aleyrodidae.
AUUUUAAUAGUUUAAAAAAAAACGUUGAUUUUGUAAUUCAAAAAUACUUUAGUAAUGUUUAAGAUC